ACGGGAGGCAGCAGUGGGGAAUAUUGGGCAAUGGGGGAAACCCUGACCCAGCAACGCCGCGUGAAGGAAGAAGGCCUUCGGGUUGUAAACUUCUUUUACCAGGGACGAAUAAUGACGGUACCUGGAGAAAAAGCAACGGCUAACUACGUGCCAGCAGCCGCGGUAAUACGUAGGUGGCAAGCGUUGUCCGGAUUUACUGGGUGUAAAGGGCGUGUAGCCGGGUCGAUAAGUCAGAUGUGAAAUCCACGGGCUCAACUCGUGAACUGCAUUUGAAACUGUUGAUCUUGAGUAUCGGAGAGGUAAUCGGAAUUCCUUGUGUAGCGGUGAAAUGCGUAGAUAUAAGGAAGAACACCAGUGGCGAAGGCGGAUUACUGGACGACAACUGACGGUGAGGCGCGAAAGCGUGGGGAGCGAACAGGAUUAGAUACCCUGGUA
Molecule: ribosomal RNA, 435 nt
Filed under: uncultured Oscillibacter sp.
Lineage: Bacteria; Bacillati; Bacillota; Clostridia; Eubacteriales; Oscillospiraceae
Description: partial 16S ribosomal RNA
Rfam family: Bacterial small subunit ribosomal RNA
Source: RNAcentral